GGACAGCUGAAGCCACGAUGACAAAGGAGAAGAUUAGAGGCAACUGAGACCUAACCAAGUCACGGACCUGGAAGAUGAAAAGACGUGUAAGAAUGAAAUGGGAAAGAAAGAAGGACGAAGCUGAGCUAUGAGAAACCCAGCAGGGAAUGAGGACGUUGUGGCUGGCGUAUCUGCUACUGAAAUGCUGGAAUCUUACAGGAACUUUCUACCAAGGUCACACUGAGUGAGGAUAAUGCUCCGUGUGUGAAGACUGUGUCCCUCUUUGGCAUGUUUCAGACAGUGUCUGAUGUUGGAAAGAUGAAUCUAGGAAAAUGGUGUUGUAGGAUGCCUUCAAUUAAAAAACAAAUGAACAAGACCAGGGUCAGUCAGCACUGGAGAUCUGUAAGGAGGGGCAAGCUCCCUCUUGCAGAAACUGGAGCCAGGUGGGGUUCAGGACUGUGUAACAAACCUUGUACUAAGGAUGUUUGGCAGAGUAACAGGGAAUAAUUUGGGGUUCUCAUACUAAGUCCUUUGUUUCAGGGGUACUGGAAUGGUAAUGGGAAAUCUGAGGAGCAGCUCAGUCAGGAAGGGCCCAGGGAAUACUGCAUGUCUGGGUGAUGGGCACACCCCGAGAAUUCAGCAGUGCAGAGCCUCCCAUGGCUUCAUAGGAGCCUUGCUAGGAGUGGAUCACUGGAUCCCAGGAUUGGAAACUUUCUUAACCCCUGUGAUUAUUCCUCUAGUCCCACGAGCCUUUUUCCUCACAGUUAUGCCCUCCUGGAGUUUCCAGAGUAACCUACAAAAUACAAAGAAAAAGCCAUUUCAUUGUAACUGGUAACUUUAUGUUAUUAUCAGGAUGUCAAGGGCCUCCAGGGGAGAGAGGAGUAUAAAGUUUUAAGCUUUGGACCCAGGUUUAUAGAGAUCACAGAAGUCUCUUCUCCCCAGGAGGAACCCUCUCCUCUAUUAGGAGGGGAGACUUCUGAUGUUAAAACUUAUGACAGCCAAGGCAAGUAGUGCCUCCAGACUCCUACUGCCCCAGGCUUUUUACAGUCAAGACCUUCAUCAGGCUUCUGAAUAUCCAAAUUGCCUACCUUUUACAUACCAGAGGGGAACAGGGAGGAUUACCAGGAUGUCUUAACAGAGUUAUCUGUAUGAACAGAAAGAAUAGAGCAUUUAUUUGCAGAUUUAUAGAGCAAUGAAAUAAUUCUGCUUUAUAACUACCAAAUCCCAGGCCAUGGGAAGGAUGUGGAUAAGAUUUCAGAAUGGUUUCAAAAUCACUUUAUGAUUUAAAUGGUUCCUACUCUGUGGUUUCUACUUCUCUGAUGUACUUUUCAGCCCUCACAUCCAAGGUGCCGA
Molecule: long non-coding RNA, 1332 nt
Filed under: Homo sapiens (human)
Lineage: Eukaryota; Metazoa; Chordata; Mammalia; Primates; Hominidae
Description: HSALNT0174189
Source: RNAcentral